GUGCUUGGUUAAGCAACACAUAUACCUAAAAUUAGAAUGAUAUAGAGAAGAUGAGCAUGGCCCCUGAAAAAAGUGAUUUGGAAAAUAAACAUUAUCUACUUAUGUUA
Molecule: small nuclear RNA, 107 nt
Organism: Homo sapiens (human)
Lineage: Eukaryota; Metazoa; Chordata; Mammalia; Primates; Hominidae
Source: Ensembl